This is an unclassified non-coding RNA of Pongo abelii (Sumatran orangutan), 148 nucleotides long. It matches the Rfam family "Metazoan signal recognition particle RNA". Rfam says of the family: The signal recognition particle (SRP) is a universally conserved ribonucleoprotein. It is involved in the co-translational targeting of proteins to membranes. The record is from Ensembl. Lineage: Eukaryota; Metazoa; Chordata; Mammalia; Primates; Hominidae.
GCUGGGCGCGGUGGUGUGCGCCUGUAAUCCCAGCUACUAGGGAGGCUGAGGCAGGAGAAUUGCUUGUACCCAGGAGGCGGAGGUUGCAGUGAGCUGAGAUGGCGCCACUGCACUCCAGCCUGGGCAACAGAGCCAGACUCCGUCUCAA